AGAGUUUGAUCCUGGCUCAGGAUGAACGCUGGCGGCGUGCAUAACACAUUCAAGUCGAACGGUGAAACCCCUUCGGGGGCGGAUCAGUGGCGGACGGGUGAGUAACGCGUGAGCAACCUGCCUUUCAUUGGGGAAUAACAGAGGGAAACUUCUGCUAAUACCGCAUAACGCAUAACUGUCGCAUGGCAGAUAUGCCAAAGAUUUAUCGAUGAAAGAUGGGCUCGCGUCCGAUUAGGCAGUUGGUGAGGUAACGGCCCACCAAACCGACGAUCGGUAGCCGGACUGAGAGGUUGAACGGCCACAUUGGAACUGAGAAACGGUCCAGACUCCUACGGGAGGCAGCAGUGGGGAAUAUUGGGCAAUGGGCGCAAGCCUGACCCAGCGACGCCGCGUGAGGGAAGAAGGUCUUCGGAUUGUAAACCUUGAUCAUUGGGGAAGAAGAAAAUGACGGUACCCAAGGAGAAGCCACGGCUAACUACGUGCCAGCAGCCGCGGUAAUACGUAGGUGGCAAGCGUUAUCCGGAUUUACUGGGUGUAAAGGGUGUGUAGGCGGGUGUGCAAGUCAGAUGUGAAAACUAUGGGCUCAACUCAUAGCCUGCAUUUGAAACUGCAUAUCUUGAGAGUCGGAGAGGUAAACGGAAUUCCCGGUGUAGCGGUGAAAUGCGCAGAUAUCGGGAGGAACAUCGGUGGCGAAGGCGGUUUACUGGACGACAACUGACGCUGAGACACGAAAGCGUGGGGAGCAAACAGGAUUAGAUACCCUGGUAGUCCACGCUGUAAACGGUGCACACUCGGGGUGGGGCCAUUUCACCGGUCCCGUCCCUAGCUUACGCGUUAAGUGUGCCGCCUGGGGAGUACGGCCGCAAGGCUAAAACUCAAAGAAAUUGACGGGGGCCCGCACAAGCAGAGGAGCAUGUGGCUUAAUUCGAUGCAACGCGAAGAACCUUACCUGGAUUUGACAUCGUCGGCAAUGCCCUAUGAAAGUAGGGCGGAGGUUAUCCGAUAGACAGGUGCUGCAUGGCUGUCGUCAGUUCGUGCCGUGAGGUGUUUGGUUAAGUCCACCAACGAACGCAACCCCUUUGGUAUGUUGCCAUCAGGUAAUGCUGGGAACUCGUACCAUACUGCCUGUUUACGCAGGAGGAAGGUGGGGAUGACGUCAAGUCAGUAUGGCCCUUACAUCCAGGGCUGCACACGUGCUACAAUGGUCGGUACAGAGGGACGCGAGACCGCAAGGUGGAGCCAAUCCCAGAGAGCCGGCCUCAGUUCAGAUCGGGGUCUGCAACCCGACCCCGUGAAGUCGGAUUUGCUAGUAACGGCGUAUCAGCUACGACGCCGUGAAUGCGUUCCCGGGCCUUGCACUCACCGCCCGUCAA
RNAcentral lists this ribosomal RNA (1373 nucleotides) under uncultured bacterium. Its description in RNAcentral is "partial 16S ribosomal RNA". It matches the Rfam family "Bacterial small subunit ribosomal RNA". The record is from RNAcentral.